RNAcentral lists this ribosomal RNA (652 nucleotides) under uncultured bacterium. RNAcentral's name for it is "bacterial SSU rRNA". It matches the Rfam family "Bacterial small subunit ribosomal RNA", at positions 33 to 679 of the family's 1533-position model. The record is from RNAcentral.
ACGCUGGCGGCAGGCCUAACACAUGCAAGUCGAGCGGUAGAGAGAAGCUUGCUUCUCUUGAGAGCGGCGGACGGGUGAGUAAUGCCUAGGAAUCUGCCUGGUAGUGGGGGAUAACGUCCGGAAACGGACGCUAAUACCGCAUACGUCCUACGGGAGAAAGCAGGGGACCUUCGGGCCUUGCGCUAUCAGAUGAGCCUAGGUCGGAUUAGCUAGUUGGUGGGGUAAUGGCUCACCAAGGCGACGAUCCGUAACUGGUCUGAGAGGAUGAUCAGUCACACUGGAACUGAGACACGGUCCAGACUCCUACGGGAGGCAGCAGUGGGGAAUAUUGGACAAUGGGCGAAAGCCUGAUCCAGCCAUGCCGCGUGUGUGAAGAAGGUCUUCGGAUUGUAAAGCACUUUAAGUUGGGAGGAAGGGCAGUAAAUUAAUACUUUGCUGUUUUGACGUUACCCGACAGAAUAAGCACCGGCUAACUCUGUGCCAGCAGCCGCGGUAAUACAGAGGGUGCAAGCGUUAAUCGGAAUUACUGGGCGUAAAGCGCGCGUAGGUGGUUCGUUAAGUUGGAUGUGAAAUCCCCGGGCUCAACCUGGGAACUGCAUUCAAACUGACGAGCUAGAGUAUGGUAGAGGGGUGGUGGAAUUUCCUGUGUAGC